GGCGCAUUCGUCCAGCGGCCCAGGACGCCGGCCUCUCACGCCGGAAACAGGGGUUCGAGUCCCCUAUGCGCUA
This 73-nucleotide transfer RNA is filed under the name Fidelibacterota bacterium. Its description in RNAcentral is "tRNA-Glu". It matches the Rfam family "tRNA". Rfam says of the family: Transfer RNA (tRNA) molecules are approximately 80 nucleotides in length. Their secondary structure includes four short double-helical elements and three loops (D, anti-codon, and T loops). Lineage: Bacteria; Pseudomonadati; Fidelibacterota. RNAcentral also lists the same sequence under 1 other name. The record is from RNAcentral.